This is an RNA transcript of Pomacea canaliculata, 1969 nucleotides long. It is a transcript of the gene named gastrin/cholecystokinin type B receptor-like, with no coding region annotated. NCBI's taxonomy places the organism in Eukaryota, Metazoa, Mollusca, Gastropoda, Architaenioglossa, Ampullariidae. The record is from RefSeq and is a predicted model, not a curated record. The transcript is spliced from 4 exons.
AGAAGAGGAUCGUGGUGACCUGACCUAGAGCAUGAAUAAUUACUCCUUCAUCGACGAGGUUUCCAGCUUUCCCUCCAGUCCCACAUCGCACAGAAGCACAACGUUUGAGGAUUUUAUCAGAAACAGGUCGAUAGUGUUUUUCUACCCUCUGGAGAGCUUCCUUCCGCCGCCUCUGUCCUCCGACCUCUUGUCCAUCCUGACCUCACUCUACGUCCUGGUCAUCGUGGCGGCGGCGGUGGCCAACACUCUGGUUGUCGUGGUGGUAGUGCGGGGCAGGAUGCUGGGCUCCUUCACAGACACCUUCAUCCUGUCGCUGUCCGCGAGUGACCUGCUGGUGGCGGGCAUCAACAUGCCCAUUAGACUCGUCAGCAUAGUGGACAACGAGUGGCGACUUGGCCUUGCGCCUGCAAGAUGACGGAAUAUCUCACUGGCAUCACCAUCAUCAACAACAUCCUCACUCUCACAGCCAUCGCCAUCGACAGGUACCUCGUGAUCUGCCGAGAGCAGCUGUACCGGCGCGUGAAAGGCCGGAAGUGGAAGGUGAUUGGUCUGUUGCUGGUGUGGGUGCUGCCUGUCCUGGCCAUCUCCCCGCAGCUGGUGAUCACGGGCAUGGCCAUGAGGGUGAAGCGCAACGACUCCGGGACCAUCACGGGGCUGGCGUGGGUGUGCGUGGAGACCUUCUCCAAAAGGACAACAACCGCCACGUCUACACCUUUACCAUCGCCGCCUGCUUCUACCUCCUCCCUCUCUCGGUCAUGGGCUUCUGCUACGGUGCCAUCGUCCGCAAGGUGUGGUCCCGCCGCAACAUUCCCCAGGUCGUGACCGCAGGUCGCCUCAACCCACAGACCGGCGUGGCUCGCCGGAAGCGCGUGACGGCCAUGUUGGUGACGUUGGUCAUGGCCUUCACCUUGCUGUGGCUGCCCUUCUUCUCGGCCUCGUUGUACGUGGAGUUUGGCGGCAACUCCUACAAGCCCAGUGUUCGUGCUGCUCGAGCUUUCUUACAGUUGACUGGCUACUGCACCUGCUGCGUCAACCCCAUCAUCUACAGCUUCUUCAGCCGCAGGUUCCAGGAUCACCUGUGCGACCUGUUUUGUCGGUCGCUGUCUUCUAGAGUACAUCCCAUAGGUAACCCCCCUGAACUCCAGAUGACCCCGGCACACAAUCAAGGCGGGCGUGAAAACCUCGCGAACCUCCCGACGUCCGUGAGUCGUGACGAGGAAACCGAGGUGCAGACCAUCACACAGGACAACAACAACUGAACUACAUGCCAGAUGUGAACACACAAACUGUCAUCAGUUAACACAUUUGGUCUCGCGCUCUUUUAUGUUGUCGACACUGCUGAUCAAUAUUCCUGUUUUCCCACCUGCCUUGAUUAAAGUAAUUGUUCAAUAUAAUUACUGUCAAAGAAAUUAUUGUCGUCGAAGAAUCUGUACUCAUUUUUUUAAGAAGAUUUGCGAGGGUAAUAUUGAACUUGGUGUUUGUGAUUAAAGGGAAGACAUCCAUGUGUAGUUAGGGAAACAAUUCAGAAUGGGUUUUCGUGUCCGUGUGUUGUUAAUCAAUUUUCUUUCAUAAUUAAUUGUAAACUCAACAGAAGUCGUUUUCUUUUGGCUCAAUAUUUGUAGAGGUUCAGUAUUUAUUUCCUGUUACUUAAACCGUGUGGUAUGUUUCGUAAUGUUAAAUCGUUUCUUGUACUGAAAUAAAAUAUUAUAUUUGUCGCUUGUCCCUUUAUCAUCUCACUGUUCAAAUGUAAUUUAAUCGUUAUCUGUAGAAUAGAAUUCUCAAAUACAAGUGUUCAUAUAUUAAAAUAGCUUCUUUCGGAGAUCAUUUUUAAACUCAUUUUUGCAAAUUUUAAAAUUGGUUUAACCUUAACUGUAGGUUUUCGUAAACCAGAUUCCAUGACCUUUAAGUCUGACGGAAGGUAGAAGUCCUAAGUGUGUAGAGGUCGUGUUUAUUCAAAACAGUUUUUUCA